RNAcentral lists this ribosomal RNA (253 nucleotides) under uncultured bacterium. RNAcentral describes it as "partial 16S ribosomal RNA". It matches the Rfam family "Bacterial small subunit ribosomal RNA", at positions 524 to 776 of the family's 1533-position model. The record is from RNAcentral.
UACGUAGGGAGCAAGCGUUGUCCGGAAUCAUUGGGCGUAAAGCGCGCGUAGGCGGCCCUGUAAGUCCGUUGUGAAAGUCAAAGGCUCAACCUUUGAAAGCCGAUGGAUACUGCAGGGCUAGAGUCCGGAAGAGGCGAGUGGAAUUCCUGGUGUAGCGGUGGAAUGCGUAGAUAUCAGGAGGAACACCUAUUGCGAAGGCAGCUCGCUGGGACGUAACUGACGCUGAGACGCGAAAGCGUGGGGAGCAAACAGG